GAACGCUGGCGGCAGGCCUAACACAUGCAAGUCGAGCGGUAGAGAGGUGCUUGCAUCUCUGAGAGCGGCGGACGGGUGAGUAAUGCCUAGGAAUCUGCCUGGUGGUGGGGGAUAACGUCGGAAACGGACGCUAAUACCGCAUACGGUCCUACGGGAGGAAGCGGGGGAUCUUCGGACCUCGCGCCAUUAGAUGAGCCUAGGUCGGAUUAGCUAGUUGGUGAGAUAAUGGCUCACCAAGGCGACGAUCCGUAACUGGUCUGAAGAGGAUGAUCAGUCACACUGGAACUGAGACACGGUCCAGACUCCUACGGGAGGCAGCAGUGGGAAUAUUGGACAAUGGGCGAAAGCCUGAUCCAGCCAUGCCGCGUGUGUGAAGAAGGUCUUCGGAUUGUAAAGCACUUUAAGUUGGGAGGAAGGGUAGUAACCUAAUACGUUGCUACUUUGACGUUACCGACAGAAUAAGCACCGGCUAACUUCGUG
Molecule: ribosomal RNA, 480 nt
Filed under: uncultured bacterium
Lineage: Bacteria
Description: bacterial SSU rRNA
Rfam family: Bacterial small subunit ribosomal RNA
Source: RNAcentral